AACCAGCAAAUAAUGGUUUUCUUCAACCAAGGCUCAAGAACUAUAAGUAAUUAAUUAUCAAAUAAUGGUUUUCUCCGACCAUAGCAAGCAUUUUGACAUAAACUAUAGAAGCACAGUAAUUGAAGCUUGGCCAACAUCAAAAGAACAACACUGAAAACUCAUAAUCCCACCAUGCAAGCCAUGAAAUCUUGAAUAUUAGGGAGAACAAGGGAAGACAAU
Molecule: unclassified non-coding RNA, 219 nt
Filed under: Hevea brasiliensis (rubber tree)
Lineage: Eukaryota; Viridiplantae; Streptophyta; Magnoliopsida; Malpighiales; Euphorbiaceae
Source: RNAcentral